GAACAUUUAGUAUAUAGUAUGGUGUAACGAGUGGUUUCACGCUUGAAUUUCUUCCGCUGCGCAUGAAGAAGAAAAAAAUGCAAAUCGGUAUUUUUGCAUUUUGCGUGUACACAGUCAGACAACCAGAGGGCGCACAGUCGAAAGUAUAGCGUUCCGAACAAAAACGCAUCGGCACGCUCCAAGUGUUCCAUAGAAGCGUAAGAAAUAUUUUUCCAAAGGAUUUCGUCCGUAGAAGUUUGCGCAUUAUUUCUCGGCUUUCUGCCUUCACGAAGAAAAUAGGAGGAGGUACAGAAAGAGAGAGAAAGGGAGACAGAGAGAGGGGGAGGAUUUUAUCCCGGACUCAGUCAUGUGCAACAAAGGGGUAUUGAUAUGGACCGUGCUUGUGAAACGGGCCAAUAGCUGUGGCCGCCAUUGUCACCCGUGGCCAGAUCUAUACCAAAGAUAUCUUCUGUAUUCUUCCAACUACAAAUUCCCCUGGUCAAUCUUUUUUUUCUUUUUAACCCCUCUCUUUCCUGUCGCCGUACGUAUCUUUGCACUUUUGGCCACCUUUGUCGGCAAUACGUCGAUUCCAACAUUGAAACAUUAAGCGCGCAUAAAGACUAUCAGGAAACUCCGCUCGAUUUUCGAAAAUUUAAAUUUGGCUUUGAAGUGCCCAUCUUACGUUUAAUAUCGCUAUCAUUGAGAAUUACGAUAUUACAUAAAUAUAAUAUAUUUUGAAUAAAUUUGUAUCGUUAAGAUGAAUAUGUAACUUUGUUAUCGCAUAUUGUACUUAUAUUGUAUUUAUAUUAAUUAAUUUGUGGAAGGUAAAUUUAUAGCAAGUUGAGAAUUAAUUAUUUCAUGAAUUUAAAAGCACGAUUAAAGUUAUGAGAGUAAUUUUUUGUGAUUUUGAAAGUUAAUAUCAAAUAAUAGAAUAAAAUACACGUGGCGUAUAAUUUUCCUUCAAAUUUUGAUUUAUAAAUCUCUUGUACGAUUAAAAACAUAGUAGACACCCUUUGUGCGAGGCUAUGAAGAAAAUAAGAUUAAUGAAAAAGUGGAAAAUAUUCGUAUUAAUUUUGUUUCUUCAAAUUAUCGAGAUAUUUGGAAUAUUUCUCAACUUAGUUAGAAACUGGCGAUUAAUUGGGCCGAUAUCGAUGAAAUAUUUCGUCAGCGCGUGAUAAUAUUUCGAGUUACAUCGAACUUAAUAACCGGUAUGAAUGGUCAGCCCGGUUAAAUCUGUUAUCUGUAUCAACAAUCAUGAAUUAUCAUAACGAAAUCCGUGCAGAAGUGGAUAUUGUUAUGUCCGUGACACGAUAUUCAAAUGAUGAAACAGAUUGUAGGUCAUCGUUGAAUAUUUUAUGAGUUGUUGCGGGAUGGUGAAGUUGAAUUUAUUACAUAAACUUUACACGGACCACGAGCUUACGACAUGAUACUUGAUGUUAAGGUGAUAAUACGGUUCGUUACGCUCUCUACAGAAUUUAUAAUCAUACCCUUGUUCACUUGUGACGCGACACUUUCAUUUCGGAAUAAUAAUUAAAUCUUUCUUGAAAAUUAAAUAUAUUCAAAAUGACAGUUCAAAAUAAUGAAUAAAUUAUAUGUAUUAUGAAA
Long non-coding RNA from Apis cerana (Asiatic honeybee), 1584 nucleotides. RefSeq lists it as uncharacterized. Lineage: Eukaryota; Metazoa; Arthropoda; Insecta; Hymenoptera; Apidae. The record is from RefSeq and is a predicted model, not a curated record.